This 253-nucleotide ribosomal RNA is filed under the name uncultured bacterium. RNAcentral's name for it is "partial 16S ribosomal RNA". It matches the Rfam family "Bacterial small subunit ribosomal RNA", at positions 524 to 776 of the family's 1533-position model. The record is from RNAcentral.
UACAGAGGGUGCGAGCGUUAAUCGGAAUUACUGGGCGUAAAGGGCGCGUAGGCGGUCUUGUAAGUUGGAUGUGAAAUCCCUGGGCUUAACCUGGGAACUGCAUUCAAAACUGCUUGACUAGAGUUUGGUAGAGGGUAGUGGAAUUCCCGGUGUAGCGGUGAAAUGCGUAGAUAUCAGGAGGAACACCAAUGGCGAAGGCAGGUCUCUGGGCCAUUACUGACACUGAGGAGCGAAAGCGUGGGGAGCGAACAGG